UCCGAGUUGACCCCGGCAGUCUCCCAUGAGUCCCCGGCAUAACCCGCUGGCAACAUGGAACGAGGGUUGCGCUCGUUGCGGGACUUAACCCAACAUCUCACGACACGAGCUGACGACAGCCAUGCACCACCUGCACACCAGCCACAAGGGAACGCCUAUCUCUAGACGCGUCUAGUGCAUGUCAAACCCAGGUAAGGUGGGGAUGACGUCAGUCAGUCAA
This 220-nucleotide unclassified non-coding RNA is filed under the name uncultured Actinomycetes bacterium. RNAcentral describes it as "uncultured actinobacterium contains 16S-23S intergenic spacer region". The record is from RNAcentral. Lineage: Bacteria; Bacillati; Actinomycetota; Actinomycetes.